Molecule: ribosomal RNA, 434 nt
Filed under: uncultured Lachnospiraceae bacterium
Lineage: Bacteria; Bacillati; Bacillota; Clostridia; Lachnospirales; Lachnospiraceae
Description: partial 16S ribosomal RNA
Rfam family: Bacterial small subunit ribosomal RNA
Source: RNAcentral
ACGGAAGGCAGCAGUGGGGCAUAUUGCACAAUGGGCGAAAGCCUGAUGAAGCGACGCCGCGUGAGUGAAGAAGUAUCUCGGUAUGUAAAGCUCUAUCAGCAGGGAAGAAAAUGACGGUACCUGACUAAGAAGCCCCGGCUAACUACGUGCCAGCAGCCGCGGUAAUACGUAGGGGGCAAGCGUUAUCCGGAUUUACUGGGUGUAAAGGGAGCGUAGACGGUUUGGCAAGUCUGAAGUGAAAUGCGGGGGCUCAACUCCUGAACUGCUUUGGAAACUGUCGAACUAGAGUGCAGGAGAGGUAAGUGGAAUUCCUAGUGUAGCGGUGAAAUGCGUAGAUAUUAGGAGGAACACCAGUGGCGAAGGCGGCUUACUGGACUGUAACUGACGUUGAGGCUCGAAAGCGUGGGGAGCAAACAGGAUUAGAUACCCUGGUA